AGUGAACGCUGGCGGUAUGCCUAACACAUGCAAGUCGAACGGCAGCACAGUAAGAGCUUGCUCUUACGGGUGGCGAGUGGCGGACGGGUGAGGAAUACAUCGGAAUCUACUUUUUCGUGGGGGAUAACGUAGGGAAACUUACGCUAAUACCGCAUACGACCUACGGUUGAAAGCAGGGGAGCUUCGGACCUUGCGCGAUUGAAUGAGCCGAUGUCGGAUUAGCUAGUUGGCGGGGUAAAGGCCCACCAAGGCGACGAUCCGUAGCUGGUCUGAGAGGAUGAUCAGCCACACUGGAACUGAGACACGGUCCAGACUCCUACGGGAGGCAGCAGUGGGGAAUAUUGGACAAUGGGCGCAAGCCUGAUCCAGCCAUACCGCGUGGGUGAAGAAGGCCUUCGGGUUGUAAAGCCCUUUUGUUGGGAAAGAAAAGCAGCAGGUUAAUACCCCGCUGUUCUGACGGUACCCAAAGAAUAAGCACCGGCUAACUUCGUG
This 492-nucleotide ribosomal RNA is filed under the name uncultured bacterium. RNAcentral's name for it is "partial 16S ribosomal RNA". It matches the Rfam family "Bacterial small subunit ribosomal RNA", at positions 29 to 507 of the family's 1533-position model. The record is from RNAcentral.